AUCCUUUUGAGGUUCAAGAGCGUGAUGAUUGGGUUUUCACGCUAAUGUGUGAGAAGUGCCUCCCUCAAAUCUUGUUAUGACUCGAUGUUGGCAAAUUAUGUCUGAAG
Molecule: small nucleolar RNA, 107 nt
Organism: Pongo abelii (Sumatran orangutan)
Lineage: Eukaryota; Metazoa; Chordata; Mammalia; Primates; Hominidae
Source: Ensembl